AGAGUUUGAUCCUGGCUCAGGAUGAACGCUAGCGACAGGCUUAACACAUGCAAGUCGAGGGGCAGCACAGGUAGCAAUACCGGGUGGCGACCGGCGCACGGGUGAGUAACGCGUAUGCAACUUGCCUAUCAGAGGGGGAUAACCCGGCGAAAGUCGGACUAAUACCGCAUGAAGCAGGGGCCCCGCAUGGGGAUAUUUGCUAAAGAUUCAUCGCUGAUAGAUAGGCAUGCGUUCCAUUAGGCAGUUGGCGGGGUAACGGCCCACCAAACCGACGAUGGAUAGGGGUUCUGAGAGGAAGGUCCCCCACAUUGGAACUGAGACACGGUCCAAACUCCUACGGGAGGCAGCAGUGAGGAAUAUUGGUCAAUGGACGAGAGUCUGAACCAGCCAAGUAGCGUGAAGGAUGACUGCCCUAUGGGUUGUAAACUUCUUUUAUAUGGGAAUAAAAUGUUCCACGUGUGGGAUUUUGUAUGUACCAUAUGAAUAAGGAUCGGCUAACUCCGUGCCAGCAGCCGC
RNAcentral lists this ribosomal RNA (516 nucleotides) under uncultured bacterium. Its description in RNAcentral is "bacterial SSU rRNA". It matches the Rfam family "Bacterial small subunit ribosomal RNA", at positions 8 to 518 of the family's 1533-position model. The record is from RNAcentral.